UUUAACAGCCAUCUAGAUGACUGUGAGGUGGUUUCAAUCCCCAUUUCCCUGGUGGUUAGUGACGUUGAAUAUCUUUAAGUAUACGUAAGGGUCUUUUUUAUUUCUUCUUUGAAAAACACAUCUAUUUGGGUCUGGAGAGGUAGCUCAGUGCUUAAGAGUACUUGUUCUUCCAAAGGACCUAGGACCAGUUCUCCAAACUCACAGGGCAGCUCACAGCUGCCUGUAAAACCAGCUCCAGGGGGACCUGAUACCCUUUAAUGGCGUCUACAUACAACAUAUGUACAUACAACAAGUACAUGUCCAUAUACUGAACAUACACGCACAUACUCAUAUACACACCCAACACAUACACAUAAUUUAAAUAAAUAUAAUUAAUCAUGAAAACAAUGUCUGUCUUUACUUCUUUGCUAUUGAGUGGUAGUUAUUUAUAUAUGCAAAUUACAUAUGAAUAUACAUACAUAUGCACACAUAUAUACAUACAUAUAAAACAUACACACUUUACAUGGACAUAUACAUACACACACAAAAAUGUACACAGCAGUAUAUACACAUGUAUACAUAUGUACACAUGCAUAUGCUCAUACAUAUACACAUGUGCACACAAAAAUGCAUGUAGCACAUAUAUAUGUAUACAUAUUUGAAAUACACCUAUGCAUGUAUAGAUACAUAUAUGUGUGCAUGUACAUACGCACAUAUACAUAUACACAUGUAUAUAUUGGGUCGUCACCUUUUCCAGACACAUAGCACACACACAAUGUUCUCUCUCUCUAGAGGCCUUUUCAUGUGCUCACCGUCUCCUCUCCAGGCUGUGCUCUUCAGUUGGGUGUAAUCCCAUUUUCUAUUUUGCUCUUAUUUUGCUACCAUGCCCAUGAGAUCAUUGCUGAGGGCAGUGCCAUGAAGUGGUCCCCUACGUUUUCCUGGAGCCGUUGUCUCAGUUCCAUGGUCUUCAACCCCACCCUCAGUUGACUUGGUUUGCAGAGUGAAAUGAAGGCACCAUUUCAUUACUUACGUGUGAGUGCCCAGCUUUCCCAGCGUCAUGUUUUUAAAAAGCUGAAUCUCUUGGUACGGUUGACCAUGUGUGUGCUUCUGUUUCUAUGGGUUUCUAAUGUAUUUUGAAAUCAGGAACUUUCUGCCCUUGGCUUUUUUUUUUCUCAAGACUUAUUUGGCCAUUUGGGCCUUUUUAUGGCUCUACAGGAAUUUUCUAAUUUUUUUAUAUUCCUAAAAAAAAUAGACCAUUAUUUUUUUCCCUGUGGAAUCCAUUAGAUUUGAAGAUCAGUUUGAAUAGUAUAGAAUUUUGGCAUUGUUCUUUGGAUAUCCACACAUGUGAAAUGUCUUCUUGAUAAUUUUUGCCUUUUUCUUCAUUACUUACCUGAAUUCCUUACAAAAUGAAUCAUUUGGCAUUCCAAAAUUAAUUUUAGACUAUCAUAUAAAGGAAUGGGUUUCAUCACAAUGUCUUCACAUGUACCAUUAUGAAAUACAUUUAAUAAACUUGAGUACGGAGAAGAAGCAACCACACAAUGGAAAUAAACGUUUCAUGAGGAACAAAGUAUCCUAAAUGUCCUUAGUUUUUGGUAUACAAAGUAUCAUAAGUGUCUGUAGUUUUCCAUAUACAAAGUAUCCUACAUGUCUUGAGUUUCCCUAUCCCCGUCCUCGACUCUUUAGGUUGCUUUUUAUUAAGUUGUUUACUUUGUUCUCCCGAUGUUUAUUGUUAGUGGAUGAAAAUAUGACAUAGAGCCAAUUUUCAUGUUGGCUUUUCCAGUUGCAAUUUUAGAAUAUUUAAGGUUCUCUCUACGUAAUAUCCUGUUACCCUUUAGCACAGAUAAUGCAACCUCUUCUUUCUGCUAUGAUGCUGAUUGUUUCUUAUCUUGCCUAAUUGCUAUGGCUAGGAUUUCUAGUUACAUGGAAAAGAAGUCUCAUCUAGGUCUAGAUCUUGGAAGAAAAUGAGUUUUCUAAGGUUGAAUGUGAGCAGUUCUAAGUGUUUGCUAGUUUGUUGUGAACUUUUAUUGUGAAAGGACUUUCUAUUUCAUCAAAUCUUUUCUCUACAUCUGUGAGGUGCCCCUGGGAGGUGAGCCCGCUCCUGUUCUGUUAGCACGUGCAUCCCAUUGACUGGUUUGCAGGAGAGUCUUAUAUUCUAGGCACAACUCUCACUGGGUCAUGGGGUACAAUCCUCUCAAGGUGCCAUUGAAUUUGGUUUGCUGGUAUCACACUGAGAAUUCUGCAUCCAUGCAGACAGGGUACCAGUCUGUAAGUAUCUUUUCUGUCUUGGCUGGCUUUGGUGUUGGGCGAUGCUUGUUCCGUUAGAUGGACUAGGGAAUGUGUCCUCCUCCUCUAUGUUUCUCAAGAGUGUGAGAGGAGCUGGGCACCAUCUCCAGAAUAUGUAGUAGACUUUAUGAGGGAAACUAUUGGAUCCUCGGAAUAUCUUUGGUAAUUUUUUUUUUUUUUUGGUUCUUUUUUUUCGGAGCUGGGGACCGAACCCAGGGCCUUGCGCUUCCUAGGUAAGCGCUCUACCACUGAGCUAAAUCCCCAGCCCCAUCUUUGGUAAUUUUUAAUGUGUUAAUUUAGUGUUCAUGCUUGUUAUAAGUCUCUUCAAACUUUGUUUCUCCAUGUUUUUUUCCAUCUCCGAGUUUCCGCACCUGCUGUCCCCCAGCCUGUUAGCAUUUAAUCAUUUAAUCAUUCUGGGAUCCUUUUUAUCUCCGGCAUCUCUCUACUCCAGGCUUUACUCACUUUUCUUGCUUUUUUUCGUCCAGCAAAGGGUUUGUUAAUUUUGUCCUUUGAGAUCAACCAAAUGUUUGGUUUUAUUUCUUUAUUUUCCUUUAUUUAUAAUCACCCCUUUUUCUAUUUCUGUUCUCCCUUUUAUUAUUUUCUUCCAUCUGCUAAUUUUGAGCAUAUUUUUGUAGAUCACUGAGGAUAAAUGAGGUUAUUUGGGAUAACGUCUCUUUCUUUAAUGUGUUUUUUAGUUUAAACACCCCUGUUAUCAUUCCUUCAGAUUCCUCCCACAGGUUUUGGGAUGUUGUAAUUCCAUUUCUAUUCGUCUCAAGAUACAUUGUACAUCCUUUUCUGGCUUGCUGUUUGAGCCAGUGUUCAGGAGUAUAUUUGUUGAGUUUCCAUAUAAUUUUGCAUACAUAUUUUUCUGUUACUUAUUUAAUUUUCUUUCCAUUAGAACCAAAAUGUUAUUGGGAAUCAAUUUGAUUUUCUAAAAAAAAGUCUAAGACUUAUUUUAGAAUUGAGACUAAUCUUUCAUGCUGCUGAAUGAAUGAUAAGUUCUUUGACUGUCUAUUUGGUUAACUGAAUCUCACAGUGCUUUUAAGUCCACUGUUUUCUUCCUUGAUUCUCUGACUGGCUAUUUUGUUUCUUGUUAUGUGUGGGCUGCAAUGGCUCAAAUAUUCUCUUCAAUUCGUGUAAUAGUAGUUAAUCUUCAUCAGAACCCUGAUGAGAGAUGGGUUUUAAGGGGAGCACAGAACCCAAGGGCUCAGCCUUCUUCAGUUAGGAACCGCUGACACUCAGCUGAGUAGGGUAGGGGAGUUAUUUGGGAAGUGCUAUUCUAGCCCAGGGUGAAGUCAGUUCCUCCUCUUCACUGUUGUUUACGUGUGAUGGUCUUCCCCUCUCUGACAGUGAGUGAAGGCAGAAGCCCAUCCCAGGCAGCUGUGGAUCCAUAGGAAACAAAACUUUGUUCUUUAUAAAUGACCCAGUCUCUAGCAUUCUGUAAUAGUAUAGCCAGGAGAUAAGAAGUCUCCUCCUAUUGGUUUUAUUUUUUUAUUACUAUCAAUCUUUCCUUCAGCCUGUCAAAAUUUGCUUUAUAUGUUAGGUUUUGGGAUGGUGGGUGCAUGCGUAUUUGUACAUGUGACAUUCCCUUAGAAUCGCCCCUUGUGUCAUUGUGGAAUUACUUCAUCUCUACAGAUAGUUUUAAGUUCAAAGUCGAUCUUGUUUGUCCCAAUUUGCAAGAAAUAUCUUUUUUCAUCCAUUGCCUUCAGCCUGUGUGUACUUAGUUCCAUUGUGAAUCUCCUGUAGCAAGCAGGUCUGAAUAAUUGGAUUCUGUCCUUUUUAUUUAAAAAGAAAAAUAAUGCGUUCGUUCAUCGCAUACCUUUUCAUUAGUGAAGUUGAUCUCUUCACGUUAAGGUGAAUGUUGAGAAACAUAGCCUUUUCAUUGCCAUUGUAUUUGCUGUUUCUUAUUCUGUGUUGAGUUCUUCUAGUAGAAUGUUUUCUGGAGGGAAGUGCCUAGCCUUUUAACCCUUUACUUUAAAUACACACAUGCAUUUUCUUUGUGGUUAGUUCAAGGCUUGCCUAAAAUAUCUUCUGGUUAUCAACUUCUACUUUAAAAAUACCGUAGCAGCUUUAAUUUGCAUGUAAAGGCACUAAACAAGAGUGUUUACUGCACACUAACAAAAUAUUUAUUAACAUGUUAAAUUAUUUUCUAUAUACCACUGCCUCAGUAGAGCAACAUGCAUAUAUACAUAUUUCUUUGUUUUGUUAAAUCUAUACUUUCAUGUUGGUAUUUGGGACGAGAGCCUUUCUAUAUGACUAAUUCCUUUAGAUUUCUCUUGUAAAGCAGAUCAGGUAAGAAGUGCCCUCAGAUUUUGUGUGCCUGGGAAGACACAUUUGAAGUAUAAUUUUGUCAGGUGUCUUAGACUUGGCUGGCGGGGUUUUUCCUCUAGCUCUUCACAUUUAUCAUCUCAUUCUCCCUUAACUAUAAGGGUUCUGCUGAAACCUUCCGGGUUAGCUUCCUCCGAGCUCCCAGACACGUGAGCUGUUCUCUGCCCUCACAGCUCUCCGUUUUGACUUUCGUAAUUUAUGUUUCUCAGUAGGCUUCAUAGGGUUGAUCCUUUAGAGUGAACACCGAGCUUAGUGAAUUUGGAUGUACACUUUCAGGGAGACCACUCGAGUACAGUCAGACCACAUUCGCCCUCUGUUCAGAGCAUCUGGUGGUCAUUUUGUCCCCUCAGUGGCCCUCAAAGCCUCAGUGCUUGGCUGUUGUUACCUGCUCCAUGUCUGGAUACUGUUUUCUCCCCUUAGUUGGCCACAUUCACUGGUGAUGCUUCUCACAUACUCCUGGAGUCUCCCAUUGUGAUAAUCCCAGGCUUACAGUAUCUUCCAGAUGCCUCUGUUUUCAUUAGGACAUCCCUCAAAUCCACUCCCUUAGCAAGGUCUUCCCUGGCAACCCUAUCAUUGUCUAUUCACUUCCUCCUAAGAACACAACUUCUCCCCUCCCCCAAUCACCUCACUGUCUCUCAUUUCUUCUCAUUACCAUUUGAACUUACUAAAUAUUUAAAUUUUUUCUUACCCCCUUCAUACUGUGCUAGCUCACAGAGGAAUGGGAUACUCAGCUCUCAUGAGUUCAAAACCUGGAAGCCUAACAAACUUGGUGUGUGUGGCCUUUUUGAAUGAAUGUGUGGCUACAUACAGUCAUACAAGGAACACAGAAGAGAUUAAUGAGUUAACAAGAUGGAAUUUGGUGUCUAAUGUCUUCGGAUGCUGUGACACCCCUGGUUUUCCAGCUCAGCGUCCUCUCCUGGACAUGUACCCAGAACAAAGACCUUUUUUCUAAAACAGCAGAACUGAACUUAGGAACAAAUGGUAUUUCUGUAGUGUGCAGGUAGUAGAGACAGGAGGAUUGCUGGGACUGGCUAGCCAACAGCCUAGUCAUAAAUCAAUGAGCUUCGGGUUCAGGGGGAGACCUCGUCCAGGAGAAUCAGGUGGAAGGAGAUAGGCAUCCUUCUUCCUCUGUCACGGCCACUGUAUCUCCUCCAGCACACGCACCCGACAAUUGUCCUUUAUUGUGACGAAUUAGAAAACCUAUGAAAGAACCGUAGGAGAUCGCUAUAGAGGAUGUAGAAGUUGUGUUUCCUAAAUAUUAAUACAAAUAUCAUGUUAAGGAAGUAAAACAUUUUAAAAUAAUGGGUUUGGGGGUGGGGGGAACCUUACAGGUGUAAAGAGAAGCAUAUGGCUGACUAGAGAUUGCCAACGAAAUUGACAGAUGAUUAACAUUCAUUAAAACUUUUAAUUAACACCUUGGAAAAUUCCAUAAAAUGAUACUGUAUGUAAAUGAGGAUGUGUGAUAACUGGGAACGUUCUCUUACCUGUUUUACAGAGGGGAAAAUGGAUCACAAAACUGCUUAUGAUAACGAUUUCUUUCUCCCUGGGUCUGUUUCAAGUGUUAUCAGCUUGUGUCAAUCAUGACAAUUUGAGCUGCCAAUAAUUCUAAAUAUAUUUGGCUGAGAUAUAAGUGAUUCUCUGUGCUUUCUGGAGGCAAGAAAAACUACCUUUUUUUUAGUGGCUUAUCACUUCUUUUUUACAACAUUUCCUGCUUAUGCAACUGUGGGAGGGUUUGGGCUCUCACAGAAGGAGAGCUUUUCCAAGCUGUUGUAAAUCAGAUAUGUUGAAACUGUGCUUCGUAAAACUCAUGUUCAAGAAAUGAUAUCUAAAACAAAACUGGAGGCUGUGAGAAGCUGACUUCGUGAGGGCUCCACAACGCUAAACUGCACUUCCUCCUGUGUGGGCAAACUGCAUUUUCAACUUGUAGUUCACAAAGGUGAGAAGGGCAAUUUUUGUCUGGACCACAGUGAUAAUUAACACAACAAAGGCUUCACACACACACACACACACACACACACACACACACACACACACACACACGCAAUGUUUACUACCGUAUCUUUUAGUAAUAUUUUUUGAGAAAGGGUCAAUGUAGCCUAGGCUGGCCUUGAACUCUCUAUGUAGCCAGAGAUGGCCAUGAACGUCUCUAAGCCUCCUCUUCCUCCCGAGUGCUGGCAUCACAGGUUUGUGCUGUAAUACCCAGUCUCUGCAGUACACGGGACUGAACUCAGAGUUUCCUGAGAUCUAGGCAGGUGCUCUACCCACUGAGCUACAUCUGUAGCCACUCUUAAUCAUUUCUGAGUCUCUUAAAUAACAGCCUUAGUGUUGCUGAGAGAAUUCCGGCCUGAGUCUAAGUUUACGUACCUGUUUCACCGAGGAGGGUUGUACAAACAUAGAAUUAUGGUUUUAUUUAUUUUGGAUAGACCUGCUUGGUUGCUAUUAGAUAUCAUGCUCGAUCAGGUUUAAAUGGCUGUUAAAUAUCUAGAGUAAUCAUUAAAGACUGGGAUCAUUGUCCCAAGUGGUGAAUCCUUGACCUCCUUCAGGACUGAUGAGGCUGCAUAGCUUCCCUCUUCCCGUGGCCUCCAUGAUUACUGUACUGACUUUUUCUGUAUCUCUCUUGUGCUGAGUUCCCCCAACACUGUGUUCCCCCGACACUCAGUUCCCCCCAAACCGAGUUUCUCCCCUCUGAGUACCCCCCACCGAGUUACCACCACACCAAGUUCCCCCCACACUUAGUUCCCUCCACGCUGAGUUCCCCCGAAACCGAGUCCCUCCGCACUGAGUUCCCACCACACCGAGUUCCCCCACAUUGGGUUCCCCCCAACACUGAGUUCCACCACCACAACCCUCAGUGUAGACUCCUCCUAACUCUUGACUCUGUGCCUGCUGCCACACGUAGCCAGUUAUAAUCCUUCCUACUGGGCUUCAUGUUGUGUGUUGUCAUGGAGGAUUUGUGCUGUUUAAGGAGAUACCUCUUGCUCCAUGCUUUUAGAAUGUAUUAACUGACUGUCACAGUGUUGCCUCCUGAUCCAAGGAAAAGGGGCACACAACUUGAUAUUGUAGCCAUUCAACUAACUGGAGGAAGUUGUCAGAAUCUUUGCUACAAGAAUUAGACGGUAGAAUUGAAAUCACUAAGGGUGAUCACUUAUAAGAUGCCCCGCUUUGAAAGCUAAUGUAUGGUUUAGGUAUUAUAUUUAAGUUCCUUGGAAUAUUUCCUUGUUUUCUUGCUUAAUGUUUAUUAAGUAUUGUGAUUUUUAAAUCAUUUUCUAGAUUAGCUAAGGGAGUUAAAGCCUUGGAACCAAAAUAAGAAAGCUUUAAAGACACAAAAGAACAAAUUUGUAUUAUUAUUUUUAUCUCUCCUAGCGUUAGGAGCCUAAAUGUUUUGAAGCUGAAGCACAAAGAAUGCAGGGAGAGACAAAAAAAUUACACCGAAAAUACCAAUUAAGCAUGAAUGUUGCCUGAUUUAUAAUUCCACGCGCGGAGAUGAUAAAGAAGAAAUACCACGUGUGAAGAAUGAGAUGUUCUGAAGUUGUGUUUCUGACUCUAUAAUUGAGAACAAUCCCGCUGAGCAGGAAAAGAAGCUCGGGAGAAGGGGGACGCUCUCAGGGGCUGUGAGAAGCUCAGAGUCAGGGAGCAAGCACUGAAGACAGAGGGCAGGGGUGGCGGAGCUCAGCCUGGACUGAGGCGCUGGGCUUGCCGAGGGAAACAAGAAGUAAUCAGUCACAACCAUCCAUCCCUUUCCACACCACGAGUGCUCACGAGGAGACCCUUUCAUUGGUCAAUUGUCUUAUUUGUAAAAUGCAGCGUGGCUGGUGGGGCCGGGGUGGUCUCAGUUGGUAGAAUGCUUGCCUGGUUUGCAAACUCACGAAGUCAUGGGCUUGGGUCCCAGAACCACAAAAAACCAGGUGGCACGUGCUCCCAUACACAAUGAGUUCCAGUUCAUUCUGGGCUACAAAACACCCUGUCUAAAAUGAUAAAUAAUAAAAAUAUUAAAAAAGUACACGCACACAUGGGAUUGUUUACCUACCUGUUGCCUGUUUUUAAACCCGGGGAGUUGUAACAGAAAAACAAAACAUAGAAUUGUAAAAUUUUGGACAGGCCUGUUGGGCUGCUAUUAGAGAACACGUUUGGUCAGGUUUAAACACUGAUGCUACCCCUAAGCCCUGCAAAUCUUCUAUGACAACCCUGGACUUUAAUACGGAAUAGACAUGGCUACUGAAGCCCUGUUCGGUUUUGCUUUUGUCUCCCAAGCAGAAAGUAGAAUUUGGCACUCCCUCCACUUCCUACCUUGGCUUUCCUCCAUGAUGGCCCAUCACCUGUAAAUCAGAUACACCAUUUUGUCUCUCAGCCUGACUUUUUGUCUGGGUUUUAUCACGUAACAGAGGAGCGAACCAGGGCACAGAUGCCCAGUUCACACAAUGGGGUCACAUUCCUUACUUGAAAUAAACAAGGGUGUUAGGACCCUGUCUUAACAGCACAACACACUUAAGCUUACAUCGCCAGGCCAGUGUGGGCUGAGAUUACCCAGGACAUCGCUACAAGCUUCACGGGUGGAAGUGGGCAGUUGCUCAUCAGAGUUGUAAGAAAAGUCUGGACAAAGAUACACAGACCGGUUCUGUGCUUUCUGUCGGGCAUUGUGAAAUAUAACCUCAGUGCUCCUGGAUCCAUGAGGCAGUAGAUGUUCUGUGUUUGUAAAGAGCUGUCUACCAUUUGAUAAGGACCGCUUGGCCUUGAUGGCUUCUGAUGGAUGGACUAGCCUACUCUACCAGGAUAGCCUCAUUCAGGUUUUUUAAAUACUAUGUUUUACUUUGAGAAUUUCCUGUUCUUACUUUCCCAUGCCUACUUUCCUGUCUCUCAAACCUAAGGAGUGCAAUGUUGUGUUUCUCAAAUACUCUGGAGAACGGGGUCUAUCUGGAACAUGGCAGGCCUGCAAGAGGAAACUGUAAAAGGAAAACUGAACUUUCCUCUCCCCAGAGCCUUCCACAAGGGGCGGGUCUAUGAAUCCACCUCUCUUCCCCCAUGCUGGGGAAGCCUGGCUGGCUGGAACUUGUAGGCGUUAUGUCAUACGUGUUAUGUAUGUUGUCUUAUGUGUAACCGCACUGCUGUGUGCAGACAAUAGUUUCCCACCUCUGGCACUUACUGUCUUUCUGUCCCUCUUCUCAUGAUUACCCCCGAGCUUUCAGGGGAAGGGGGAUAUGCAUGUCCUACUCAGAGCUGGUCACUGCAAAGUCCUACUCUUCCCGCACACCGACCAGCUGUGCAUUUCUGUAUCAAUCUGCCUCUCCCUCUCCCUCCCUCUCCCUCUCCCUCUCCCCCUCUCUCCCUCUCCCCCUCUCUCCCUCUCCCUCUCUCUCCCUUCCCGUGAAUGUCAUGCUUUUACUUUAUGUCUGCACACACUCCCCCGGGUACACGUCCCACACUUUCUUCCUGUGUUUGUGUGUUGAUGAGCAUCUAGGCCGAUCCCGUUUCUUGGCUGCUGUGACUGGCACCACAGUAAAUGCACACGUGCGUGUAUCUCUGUCAGGCAACUUGGGUUCCUUUGGAUCUGUACUCAGAAGUUACCACUGCAGUAUCCACAUUUUAAACUUCUAUGCCUCGUCGUCUUGAAAUAGAGAUGAGGCCUAUUCCUACUGUACCGAAAUAACCUGACAGGGGCACGAGUUAGUUGUCUUGCUAGUCUUUAAACAUUUGGCAAACUUUCACCAUCAGUGAGGAAGAUUGAGAGUGAACGAUAACAUGAGAUAUUUACGUAGAUUUUUGGCAGAAUGAACAAUUGAACUCAAUUGGAUCAAUUAAUUAAUGUCAAUUGGGACUCUGGCCUUAGUCCUAUCAUUGAGUAACUGUUGACAACCUCGGCUGGCUGGUUUUGUGACUUGACACAAACUUAGACAUAUCUAGGAAGAGGGAGACUCAGCUGAGGAAAUCUCACCCUGAGAUUGCCUUUCAGACAAGCGUUGGGGAGGAGAGGUGGUUCAUUUCCUUCAUUAAAGUAGUAAGAGUCACCUUACUGUGAAUAGUACCAUCUUGUGGCUCCCUGCCCUGGGUUCUAUUUCAGUUCCUGCCCUGAGUUCCUGCCCUGACUCCCUGUCAUGGUGUACUGUGAUCAAGACUUGUAAGCCAAGUAAACACUUUUUUCUCCGAGUGGCAUUUAGUCAUGGUGUUUUGUCACAGUAAUACAAAGUAAACUGUACACUGCUUGCCCACCUUUAAGUUUACAUCUCAAUGGGGUGAUUUCUAUAUUUAAUAAAAUAUAAGGGUUCAAUUUUCACAUAAAUGUAAUGGUAGUGUAUAAUGCCCAAAUGAGGGAAACGGUCUUGAGAGGGAUCCUUGGGACAAAUGAAAAUGUAAUUGAAAGGUUUAUAAGCCACUGGCCGGCUAGAGUUUCUGAAAGAAGCAACUGGCUAAUUGUUGGAACAUUGGACUGUAUAUAUUUGAACACCAGGAAGGUGGGAGAGACAGGAAGCCUCCUCUGUGCUGCCUUCAGACGGCAGACAAAAAUUAAACCAUCAUUUGCCACAAUGAAAUGUAAAACUGUAAAAAAAAUCAGUGUAUGAGGGUCUUACUAUAGAAAGUGUGGAGAUUUUUAUCAGAGUCAGAAUUACAUUAGAAAAAUCUCUUCAAGUUUCCUAUCUUUAAAUACAGUUCUAUAAUUUCACAAACUUGUCAUGACAAAUUGAUGAGAUAAGAGGAAUUAGCUUUGGGGGAAAUAGUAUGCUUGUGUGUGUGGGGGGGAGUGGCUCUGAGCUGUUCUCCUCCAAACAUUCCAUUAUCUUCUGAGAUAAGCACAAAAGUGUGUAACAUACCAUGACGGUAACAUACCAUGGCGAACCCAACCUGUAUGUUGUAGUAAAGAGCAGACAUACAACAGUCCCUACUUGUUCUCACUGCUGUGGGGUGUUUAGCUUUUCCUUUGAUAGGAAGCAAAACUCACCAGUCUACAAGCAAGACUCUGACUCUGUAUGGCGUUAAAUAUUGACAGCCCAUCUGUGAGUGGGAACCACAUCGAAUUCCUGGAGAAUCAGACAGCAGAGCCUGUACUAAUGCUCCGAUUAAUCUGAUGAGGCCUCCUCCGCCUGUGUGUUUUUAAUUUGCCUUUCCACAGGACCAGAUAGAUUGUACACUUGUGGCAUAAAGAGAUUCUGCAGCUUUUGAAUUAACCUAAGUGUUAACCUAACCUGAAGUCCUUGGUUUUGCUGAUUCAGAAACUGAGUUCGAGAACAUGGCUUACCACUCCCCAAGGUCCUUCUGUGUAGUUGGUGGUACAACAAAGUUCAGUGUCCGUCUCCUAUGCCUGCCAGUGACAUCACCACUCUUUCUGCGUUCUGUCCUCUCUGGGUCUUCUUUUCAAAUACUUGAGAAGCAAAAGGAGGCAAAAGAAGGUGCACACAUCCACACCAUCCUCACAAAGCUGACAGUGUUAUAUUUAAGUAGUUUGCAGUCUUAUUAAACACUGAUAUCCAGAAAUAAAAUAAGGGGGAGUUGCUAGUCUCUUCUGGGUGCUAAUAGACUGGAUGGGGGGCAGGAUUCAGAGCUUCGUGUCAGAAAGGAUUUAGGGUUUACUCACAUCUCAGCAGCUGCCACGGAUUUAUGUAGAUCCCCGUGCAGUAGUCACACCCGUGUUUUAGGACGGCUUUCAAACUGGGCAUGCAGAAGUCUCUCUCUGCUCAGUGUCACUCACCAGGAGUUGAUUCAGGCUGCAGCCUCUGGCUGAGAUGCUGGUCACUCUACUCCAAGUCUUUGCUGCCCUGGCUUUAAGGAUUUAAAAUCGUCUUUUGAUGACGUUAUCCACCCUUCCUUGUGGUUGGAGUGUAGAGUCAAGCAGUGCUGCUUCACUGUUUUAAAUACUAAUCAAGGUAAUGUUGAGUUUAAUAUGGAAAAUGUCUCACCAUUUUAAAAUGUAUCACAGUGACUUUUUUAUUAUGCAGAUCCCCACGUGAAUAUCAGGUUCUCUAAAGGCUGACAGGGAGGCAGAGCAUCUGUGUAGAUGUCAGUACAGAGCUGUGGGAUUCACCUCCCUAAGUGUUUAGAAAUCAAGCUGAUACACGUUUUAUAAAAUGUAUACGUUUUAGGAGUAGUCAGAUUGAUACAAUAUGAGCUGAUAAAAUGUUUCUGACUCGUGCCUCCCUCAGCAGUCCCUAUUGGCAGCCUGUAAGCUGGCAUGGAAAUGUAACGUAUCUUGGGCCUUUGGGCAUUGAGGUGAGAAUGGAAGAAGCUGAUAUUUAAGCUAUUACCAAAAUGCAGUGUUUAAUUUAGAAAUUUAAAGAGCAUGUGAAUUUAAAAGUGACAGAAUGUUUGAAAAUGAAACUUCAAAUGGAAAGUUAUUUUUCUUCUUCAACUUGUGUGACUUAAGAGGUGGGAGUGAGUUGGGGCAAUUCUGACAGGCUAGGUACAGUAAGCUAGCCAAAUCCGGUGCCACAAGAUGAUGUGGGAAUUUGCUUUUCAGUGGGAGAAUGGCAGGGGAGGGACAGGUGACCUGUGUGACUUGGAAAGCAAGUGUGCUCAUGUCAGUGAUGCCCUGGGCGUCUCUGUCUUCACUCCUUCUUCUGUGGACACUUGUUUCUUGAGGCAGGGGUCACUCCUGUUCUUGAGUUCCCUGUGUAAAAUAUUUUUACUUGUCCCCUAUGCUCGUACUGGCAUCUAACAUGUGUCACCUGUUUUCAAGCCUCGAUUCUCCUGCCUUUAGACUGACUUGAGCUACUACUUCACCAGGAUCUCCUGAGGAUUUUAAGUCUUCAGCAGUAUGAGAAGUUCGAGGGCCACGACCAGGCACAUACGUCAGGAUGCAUACACAUGUGUUUCUGAUCACAUGGAAAGGCCUGGCUGGGGCCAAAGCUCUGCCUACUGUUUGCUUAUCUGCCUUUGCUUCCUGCCUGGCUUCUCACUUCCUGACCCCUCCUUGAGGUGUUUAAUUUAAUUUGUCUUAAUCAGCCUUUGGGGCCAUGACUCUUUUUAAGAUCACUGAACAUUUGAAAAUUGGAAUCAGUUGAUUGAGUCAUAGAGAAACAGACCUCCCUCGCAAACUCCUACCAUGGGCACUCUGUCGUCUCGGGCAGCUGACCUGUGCUGCUCUGGUCUGUCACGCCGGUCAGAAUCGGCCUCUCCCGUCAGGUCUUCAUGCUAUGUUUGUAAUGGCUCCCGAAACACACACUGCUCACCUGCAUACUGACGGCAGGCAGCAAGAGGAGCGUUAAGCCAGACAUUUGUUUCUGGAGUUGCCUGAUGGCGGUGAGAUUAUCUUGACAACGUUAAUUCCAACAAGUUUUCAGUCUGACUGAAUCAUUUUUUCCUGCUCCACUGACCCGUUUUUUAUUUACCUUUAGGGCGGUUUCUGCAUUCAUUAAUACAAGCCGAGUGAAAAAGCAUGUAGACAUUUUUUUUGUCCUAAGAUUGGUGGUCAAUAUUCUCAGCAUUUAUUACUACGCUAACAUGGGAAGGGAUAGGGUCACCGGCUCAGCCUUGUGUCUGUGCACUGAUAUCUGGUCCCAGGCAUCAGUGGUCCCAGGUAAUGGUCCAUCUGAUUUCAGCACUUGGUGUGGAUGAGGCCAAAGUUGCUAAAGUGACUUCUGAUCUCUCGCAGGGUUGGAAGCCAGCACUGCAUGUUCUUCCGGCUACUUAGUGGGUCCCUGGCAUGCGAUUAACUCAUCAUCAUGCCCCGAGAAAACCAAGAAGUUCAUUUAUUGGUAUCAUUUAUGUGCUAUAAAAACAUUCUCAGGCUAACAGCCCCACCCCCUUUUUGGUAUAUCCAUGUAUACUCAUGCACGCAUGUGAUUGCACAUGGGUAUGUAGGUACAUUUGUGGUCAUGGGCACGUGUGUGGAGGCCGGAGGACAAACUCUGCUGUUGUUUCUCACAUGACAUUUACAUUAUGUUUUAUUGUUAUUACUUGUUUAUUUGUAUGUGUGUGCGCCUGUGUGUCUCUGUGUGUAACACCUAUGAAGAGGUCAGAGAGCAAGCCAUGGGAGCCACUCCUACCACAUGGAUCUCAGAGAUGCAGCUCAGGUCUUAGGCUUAGGCCCAAACACCUUCUCUCCCUGAGCCAUCUCCUCAGUCCCAUCACUUUUUGCUUAAUAAUAAUAGUUAUAUUAUAGUUAUAAUAAUAGUUAUCAUUAUCAUUAUUGUUAAUGUUUCUGACACAGGGUCCCUCACUGCUCUAGACAGAGCCAAACUGGAUCAGAUAACUGACCAGUGAGCCCAGAGACCCAUCUUCUUGUCGUCUUAAUGCUGAGAUUACAAGCAAGGAGACUUCAUGCUCAGCUGCUUUUAAAUGUGGGUCCUGAGGGAUGGAGUCCCAGGCCUGUGUCCUUGCAAGGAUGUGAGUGGCCUUAACAAGCCCCACCUGUGCCUUUUAUUGUCAUUGCCAAGAUCAUCGUGGUCAUUUGGUGUUCAGAUAAGGAGUUAGGGAGCACUGUAGGUAGAGGGGGGAGGGGGAGAGGAGAAAGUGGACGAAGAGGAGGAAAAGAAAGUACAGCCUGAAGUUCUACAUAAAACGCAACGGAGCUCAGAGUGGGCGUUCAGUGCAUACUAUCUUCGGAACACUUUAAACCAAAGGAUUGGCUCGUGUGGGAUUUUAGAAUUGAGUGUAACCUUUCAGAAUAAUACAGUUCACACGCUUCAUUUUAAGACCCGGGAAAGAAUAGAAAGGUUAAAUGACAUGGUCACGGUCACACGAAUAGUGGCAUUGUGGGACCACUUAUCUUUAUUUUUAGGUGUGAGAAGUAGGCCAUUUGCCUCGGAGAUCUGGUAGAAAGGCCAAGAUCACCAGGUUCCUCCGUGUUGGCCAAUGAAAGGGCCAUUUCCUAACUUGGCUUUUUCUCGUUUUCUAUAUUUGACAGGGACGGAUGCUCAUCUUUUCUUGAAUCUCUCUGUUCUUUGAGUCUCUGCGGCCGCGUGGUCUCCUCCCUUCCUCCGAGCUUCGUGACUGACAAUGGGUUUCAUUCAGAGGCCUCCUUAGGCUCUCUCUCCUUGAUGCGGAGCCCUCCGGAGGUCAACCCUCCCUCCGUUCCUCGCACUCUUGACAUCCUCUCUGGGUCACCUCAGCAUUUCUGCCAUAUUUAUUAUGAGUCCCACACCCUGGUAGCCAGUGGUAUGAUAGACCAGCACGUGAGCCAUGCAGCAAGGACUCACACUGGCGUUCUGAUGCCUCUGCUACUGUCCCUAUUUGAGUAUUCUUGGAAUCUACAGUGAUUGUGAUGGAUGCCCUGGAUCACACUGGAUGUCCGGUGGAAACCUCAACUCAAUACCCUCAACACGGAGCUGAUCGGCAGUCCCCACCCCCACCCCCACCCCCGCCCAGCCUGAAGUUCUUUUCUUCCUGAAUUCCUUUUCUCAAGGUCAGGUCACAUUGUGAGUCCACCAGAAAGUCAAACACCCGCUCUAAGUCUACUCUCUCCCUCUUUCCCAGUGACCCAAGCUCUAGCCUCUUUACCCCACCUCCCGCCCUUCUCUGCCCUCUGUUUAGCCUGUGACCAUCACCACUAUCAGCCUCCCAUUUGGGCUUCAUUUUGAAAGCUUGCUCGCUUUUCUUUAACCUGAAGGAAAUCCACUCUGCUUAGGGCUGCUUCCGUGAUGACCUAGAGAGAUGAAGGUGGGGAGGCAGCCACACCCAUCUCCACGUCAAGUCGCCAGCUUUCUCAAGCUCUGGAGCAGAGCACUGUGAGAUUCCCCAACCGGGCCCUAGCUCCCGUGUCUGCCCUCUCUACGUAGAGGCUCGCCGUACCCUGACAGCAUCCUCCGUGUCUUGCAUCUGGUUACCGGCUGGUACCGUUUCCUUCAACCGGGAUGUCAUACCCCUACUCGUGGCUGCCUGCUCUGAAUCCUUUGGCAAAACUUAAAAUAAUUAUGAAAAUUUUCAUAAUCUCUUCCUCAUAAUCCCACUCCAUCCCUGUGUUUUACAAACAUACAUGAAGGAACACACACUGAUAGCUACAUACAUAUGAUUUUAAAUUUAGGCUCCAAAUAUAACGCUAUGGUCUUUUGUAUAUUUGGUUGGUUUUUUUUUUUUUUGUUUUUUUUUUUGUUUUUGUUUUUUUGGCUUUUGGAGGCAAGUGUCUCUCUGCAUAGCUCUCUGUCCUGGAACUCACUCUAUAGACCUGACUCUGUAGCCUUGAAUUAACAAAAAUCCCCCUGCCUCUGCCACUUGAAGGCUGGGAUUAAGGGCAUGGAGCACCACACCUGGUACAAGCUGUGGUUUUAAAAUCUGGUUUAUUUCACUUAACAUAAUGACUUUUGCAUCCACCAUUUUUUCCUGCAAAUGUUAUGAUUUGGAUUUUCUUACAGAUGAAUGAAAUUGCACUGUGUGUGUGUGUGUGUGUGUGUGUGUGUGUGUGAGAGAGAGAGAGAGAGAGAGAGAGAGAGAGAGAGAGAGAGAGAGAGAGAGAGAGAGAGAGAGACCUUUCUUUAUCUGUCCGUCUGCUGAUGGGCAUCUAGGUUGGUGCCACUUCUAGGAUUUUGUGAACAGUGCUGCAGUAAUCAGAGUAGAACAGGCUGAUUAAACCUUGAUUUAUUCAUCUCCAUCACCUUUUCUCUCCUUUUUUUUCUGAGUUGUUCUAAAGUAUAUUCAGGACAUCAUAAAAUAUCUCCUCCUUUUUAUUAGAUGUCUUCAAUGACGGUCACUAUUGUGCAUAUCAGGGUUAUUUCAGACUUCUCAUUGGCGGUGGCCACUCCUGGAGCUCAUUCUGACUCUAAAGGAAAAAUUUCCAUGUUGCUGCAAUAAAAGGGAUUUUUUUUUAAAAAAAUAAUGAUCCAAAAUAAGUUGCACGUACCAACUUUGGUUGAUUCCAUCGCUCAGGAGCAGGGCUCCUCUCUCUUUCUUUAUUGACCCCACCCACUUGUUGCAGAACUAGGUCACUAGGUCACUGGUAGCAUUGCAUGCCCACAGUCUUUGUCUCCUUAUGAUGAGAGCUUGUUUUUGUACCUACUCUAUUACUUACAAACAGAAAUUCCUUCAGAGGCUUGGUUAAAUUCAAAUCGGCCCUCCCUGCCCUUUUAACUCAUUUCUCUUCCUCUUCCUCCUCUUCCUCCUCCUCUUCCUCCUCUUCCUCUUCCUCCUCUCCUCCUCCUCUUCCUUCUCCCCUUUCUUCCACCUAACCAUCUGAGUGUUGACGUUGACUAGCUGGUUCCCUAGGUAACAGCCUAAUUCCGUAUCACAGUCAUCAUCAGUCUCACUGUGCAGCUCUGGUUGAAUCCAUUGAUGACCGUCACCCAAAUCUAUCAUUUCACUGAGGGCUGUAAGAUGGGUCAAUGAUAAUUUUAUUAUUUCUGCCACAUUUACUGGGUAGAACUUUCCUGGAAAGAAAAACGGUUUGAGGGCCAUCGAGAUAGCUCAUCACACAAAAGCACUUGCUUGAUGAACUGAGUUUGAUCCAGAAACCAUACGAUGGAGAGACCGAGACCGACUCCAGAAAGUUGUUCCCUGACCUCCACACGCAGGCUGUGGAGCCAUGCAUGCAGACACAGUGCGCACACAGAGCCCUUGUGCUUUCUCAGCUCAGACCAUCUGACUACCCGGGAAGGCGGGGCACAGCGGAGAGGGGAGGGAUGAUCACGAUGAUUUUUCAUUCUUCGGGACUCUUACUUCCAUUCUCUCAUUGGUUCAGACGAAUAGAUUCCUUCCGUGAGAAUCUGCUGUUAAUCUGUGAGCCAAACACUGCCUUAUUCCCUCCUAGGGAUGCCUCUGUCCCACACCCAUCAAGUCUGCCUGAGUGCGGGAAGUACUGAGCCUUUACCUGGUGCUUCACUUCAUCCUAGAUGACCUGAGCAACAGUAGCGAUCCAUCCGUGAGCAGCUGGCAGUGCACAAGCUACGUCAAGCACCAGCUGUGUGUUAUCUUUCCCACUCCCCACAUCAUGACUAUGUCUCUUUUCCCCACUGGGAUACUUUGUAUAAUUUCAAUGACACUUAAAGUACUCUGUCCAUUUUCAGAGUUCUGAAAAUCACCUUUCUAAUUUCCUUUGUAAAAAACAAAUCCAUACAAUAUAUUUGAUUAUAUUAUUAUAUAUUAUAUUAUACAUAUUAUAUUAUUUUCCUUCCCUCAGUUUCUCCAACUUACCCAACUUCAUGUUCUUUAUCAGAAAAAAAAACAAAAGAAAGAAAAAAAAAGGCACACAUACAAACAAACCAAAAACGUAGUCCAUUUUGUAAUGUCCAAGUACUCCUGAGUAUGAAGCCUGUUCCGAAGCACGGUUGAUCUACCCAGGGACACUGCCUUGAAGAAUCAGAUUCCUCGGACCGGGAGCUAUCAAUUGUGAAUAGCUUCUUGGCUAAGACAGAUAAUAUGCCAUGAGGAACCCCUUGUUUUUCCGCACAUCUCUUAAGUACAGAAGGAGCUCGAACAAAAGUGGAGGCAAAACGCAGCCUACAAAAGGUCCUCUCAGCUAAGAGUGCCCUGUGCUCCUGUUUGGAGGUGAGACGCCAGCUCCCCGUUCCUCACGGCACUCAGAUGCAUCAUUCUCUACAUUUCCAAGAGACUCAGCCCUAACAACCAAGUGCGCAUCGUGGUGGGAAAUAAUGCAGAUUCAACAAGAUCACAACCUCCAUGCGAAAACUGCUCUUAAUGAGGUGCUGUGUAUGAAUUAAUUAAAUUAGUUUGCCCCUCGUGUGGCAAGCCCUGGUUAGCGUU
Rattus norvegicus (Norway rat) is the source of this 19206-nucleotide non-coding RNA. Lineage: Eukaryota; Metazoa; Chordata; Mammalia; Rodentia; Muridae. The record is from RefSeq and is a predicted model, not a curated record.